This 541-nucleotide transfer RNA is filed under the name uncultured cyanobacterium. Its description in RNAcentral is "partial 16S-23S ribosomal RNA intergenic spacer". The stretch from base 212 to 284 matches the Rfam family "tRNA". Lineage: Bacteria; Bacillati; Cyanobacteriota. The record is from RNAcentral.
CAGGGAGACAACAAAAUGUUUAAUAUUAUUAUUUUGUCACCUUAGGUCGAUCGGUAUCUCACGUUCUUGAUUUAUUAAGAAUUUCAUUUCCUAAGUUUUUCUAGGUCACACCCAUUUAUUUUCCUGGGCCAUUAGUUCAGGUGGUUAGAGCGCACCCCUGAUAAGGGUGAGGUCCCUGGUUCAAGUCCAGGAUGGCCCAUAUCUCUAUGUUGGGGGUAUAGCUCAGUUGGUAGAGCGCCUGCUUUGCAAGCAGGAUGUCAGCGGUUCGAGUCCGCUUACCUCCACUGAUUACCACCUCUACCAUAAUUUGUAGAAAGGAAAUGUUUUGAGUUGUGAUCUAAUUCUGAACGAAUCUGGCUUCCUAAUAAAAUUAUUAAGAUGCUGGACUCAUUGAAUUAAUUUCAUUGUUUUCAGAGAACCUUGACAACUGCAUAGAUUAUUUUUAAAGACAAUAAGCAUCUUUAAUGAUGCAGAUUUAUUAUUUGUGCGAAUGCAUUAAUAACAAUUCUAUUAAGCUGAUGCUUCAAUUUUUGAAGUUAUU